This 870-nucleotide ribosomal RNA is filed under the name uncultured candidate division WS6 bacterium. Its description in RNAcentral is "bacterial SSU rRNA". It matches the Rfam family "Bacterial small subunit ribosomal RNA", at positions 60 to 893 of the family's 1533-position model. The record is from RNAcentral.
AGUCGAACGAACCCUUUUGAAUUACUUGAAACUUCGGUUGAUUGUUUUUCUUUUUUGGGUUAGUGGCAAACGGGUGAGUAACACGUGGAUAACCUGCCUUGAAGUCAUGAACAGCUCAUCGAAAGAUGGGAUAAUACAUGAUAGUCUUACAUCUUCUUUAGAUCUUGUAAGUAAAGUUACGGCGCUUCAAGAGGGGUCCGCGUCCUAUCAGCUAGUUGGUGAGGUAAUAGCUCACCAAGGCUAAGACGGGUAGCUGGCGUGAGAGCGCGGUCAGCCACCAUGGAACUGAGACACGGUCCAUACUCCUACGGGAGGCAGCAAUUAGGAAUCUUGCGCAAUGGGGGCAACCCUGACGCAGCGACACAGCGUGGAGGAAGAAGGUCUUCGGAUUGUAAACUCCUUUUAUAUGGGAAGAAUAGAUGACGGUACCAUAUGAAUAAGCACCUGCUAACUACGUGCCAGAAGCAUCGGUAAUGCGUAGGGUGCAAACGUUAUCCGGAUUUAUUGGGUGUAUAGAGAUGCGUAGGCGUUUUUGUAAGUCUUUAGUUAAAGACCACGGCUCAACCGUGGAAGAGCUUCGGAUACUGCAAAAAUUGAGACAGGAAGAGGCGAACAGAAUUUCCAGUGGAGCGGUGAAAUGCGUUGAUACUGGGAGGAAUAUCAGUGGCGAAGGCGGUUCGCUGGUCCUUGUCUGACGCUAAGGCUCGAAAGCGUGGGUAGCAAAACGGAUUAGAUACCCGUGUAGUCCACGCUGUAAACUAUGGAUGCUAGGUGUUCGGUAUAACUGUUUUUUCCUUCGGGAAAAAAUGGAAGUAUUGAGUGCCGCAGUUAACACGUUAAGCAUCCCACCUGGGAAGUACGGNCGCAAGG